GCAGGCCGUGCUGCGCGGCUGGAUCGCCCACCCCCCGCGUGGGUAGCUACCCUGGAGUAGCUACCCUGUAGCGGGAGCGGCCCGCCCCGCGGCGCGCCAAACAGGCCUGCCGAAGGACCCCUAAACUCUGUUUUGCACCUGUAUCUCUGAGUUUAUUAUACAAAUAAGUUAAAACUUUCAACAACGGAUCUCUUGGUUCUGGCAUCGAUGAAGAACGCAGCGAAAUGCGAUAAGUAAUGUGAAUUGCAGAAUUCAGUGAAUCAUCGAAUCUUUGAACGCACAUUGCGCCUAAUAGUAUUCUGUUAGGCAUGCCUGUUCGAGCGUCAUUUCAACCCCCAAGCCCUAUUUGCUUGACGUUGGGAGUUUACGGAGACGUAAUUCCUCAAAUAUAGUGGCGGAGCUAGGUCGUGCUCUAAGCGUAGUAACCAAAUUCUCGCUUCUGAAGCCGGCCCGGGUCCUGCCGUAAAACCCCCUAUAUUUUUCUGGUUGACCUCGGAUCAGGUAGGAAUACCCGCUGAACUUAAGCAUAUCAAUAAGCGGAGGAAAAGAAACCAACAGGGAUUGCCCUAGUAACGGCGAGUGAAGCGGCAACAGCUCAAAUUUGAAAUCUGGCCUUCGGGUCCGAGUUGUAAUUUGCAGAGGAUGCUUUUGGCGCGGUGCCUUCCGAGUUCCCUGGAACGGGACGCCUUAGAGGGUGAGAGCCCCGUACGGUUGGACACCAAGCCUCUGUAAAGCUCCUUCGACGAGUCGAGUAGUUUGGGAAUGCUGCUCUAAAUGGGAGGUAAAUUUCUUCUAAAGCUAAAUACCGGCCAGAGACCGAUAGCGCACAAGUAGAGUGAUCGAAAGAUGAAAAGCACUUUGAAAAGAGGGUUAAAUAGCACGUGAAAUUGUUGAAAGGGAAGCGUUUACGGCCAGACCUUUUCCUGGCGGAUCAUCUGGUGUUCUCACCAGUGCACUUCGCCAGGUUUAGGCCAGCAUCGGCUUCUGUAGGGGGAUAAAAGCAGUGGG
This 1008-nucleotide ribosomal RNA is filed under the name Sordariomycetes sp. RNAcentral describes it as "eukaryotic LSU rRNA". The stretch from base 488 to 1008 matches the Rfam family "Eukaryotic large subunit ribosomal RNA", at positions 1 to 532 of the family's 3401-position model. The record is from RNAcentral. Lineage: Eukaryota; Fungi; Ascomycota; Sordariomycetes.